AGCAGCCGCGGUAAUUCCAGCUCCAAUAGCGUAUAUUAAAGUUGUUGCAGUUAAAAGCUCGUAGUUGAAUUUCGGGGUUAGUAGGUUGGUCGUGCCACUGGUACGUACUGGUCUCACUGAUUCCUCCUUCCUGAUGAACUGUAAUGCCAUUAAUUUGGUGUUGCAGGGAAACUGGACUGUUACUUUGAAAAAAGUUAGAGUGUUUAAAGCAGGCUCACGCUUGAAUACAUUAGCAUGGAAUAAUGAAAUAGGACGUUUGACCCUAUUUUGUUGGUUUCUAGGAUCGACGUAAUGAUUAAUAGGGAUAGUUGGGGGCAUUAGUAUUCAAUUGUCAGAGGUGAAAUUCUUGGAUUUUAUUGAAGACUAACUACUGCGAAAGCAUUUUGCCAAGGAUGUUUUCAUUAAUCAAGAACAAAAGUUAGGGGAUCGAAGACGAUCAGAUACCGUCGUAGUCUUAACCAUAAACUAUGCCGACUAGGGAUCGGAUGAUGUUAUUUUUUAAUGACUCAUUCGGCACCUU
This 520-nucleotide ribosomal RNA is filed under the name uncultured Glomus. RNAcentral's name for it is "SSU rRNA". It matches the Rfam family "Eukaryotic small subunit ribosomal RNA", at positions 569 to 1089 of the family's 1831-position model. The record is from RNAcentral. Lineage: Eukaryota; Fungi; Glomeromycota; Glomeromycetes; Glomerales; Glomeraceae.